GAGAGAGAAGUUCAAGAGUACGUGAAACCGUUCGGGGGUAAACCUGAGAAACCCGAAAGAUCGAAAGCCGAGAUACAGCGUCCGGCGCCGCGGGCGAUGCGGCGGCGGCGUGCACUUCUCGGCCGGUAGGACGUCGCGACCCGUUGGGAGUCGCCGGCGCACGAAGGGGGCGCGCGGGAAGCUCGAGGCGGCGCGGCGGAACUCGUUUCCGUCGUCUUUGCGUUGCCCCUCGAACCCGCCGCGCCCUCGAAACUCAGGCGCUCGGCAAGCCCGACGCGACAGUCAAAAACAGAUCGACGAGUUCGUUCGGCGGUGCGCCCUUUCGGCGCGCUCGACCUCGUCUCCGCCGACGCCCCUCCUCGCGGAGGCGGCGCGCGGUGGCGGGGGUUCUCGGGCGUGUGCACGCGUUCGCGCGCGCGCACACCGAAGUCCGAUCGUCGGCGACGCUUUUGCUUUGGGCGUUUUCAGGACCCGUCUUGAAACACGGACCAAGGAGUCCAACGUGCGCGCGAGUCAAUGGGAGCAAACUACUAAACCCAAAGGCGAAGCGAAAGCGAAGGGCGAACGGGGGCGUUCGUUCGCAUCCCGCUCGUCCGUCGGGAGGAUGGGCCGCCGCACCAAAUCCGAGCGGCCCCGCACUCCCGGGGCGUCUCCACCUGGCACCGCCGCGGUCGACCGAGCUUCGCGCUCGCGUCGUCGUACGGUGCCGGAGGCGCACCUCUAGCGCGCACGCUGGGACCCGAAAGAUGGUGAACUAA
RNAcentral lists this ribosomal RNA (758 nucleotides) under Microphotus octarthrus. RNAcentral's name for it is "partial 28S ribosomal RNA". The stretch from base 488 to 758 matches the Rfam family "Eukaryotic large subunit ribosomal RNA", at positions 665 to 834 of the family's 3401-position model. The record is from RNAcentral. Lineage: Eukaryota; Metazoa; Arthropoda; Insecta; Coleoptera; Lampyridae.